AACAAAAGAACAACCUAAUAAGACAAGAUCAGGGCAAUUCGAAAAGGAAAGUGCACCACCCUUCUUACUGCGACUUCAUAUUCUUCGCAGAGACAAAGAAACUCCGAUAUGGUAGUGAAAAGAGGUUAAUGUCCAGAAGAGAUCUCGAAAUACUGGUCACAUUUUGGUCCAAGAGAAAGCUAGCUUGAGUAGAAGUCACUGAGGAAACUUAUAAUUCUCACAAGCGCCAUGACCCUAGCUCGAUGAAGGCUCCUUCAAAGUAGCUUCAUAAAUCCAAAAUGACAUGUAUCAAUGGCUAAUACAAUGUUUAACGAUGUCCAUCUUGUCGUUCUCGUCCAUGCUCCAGCUGAGGAGCCUGUAGCAAGUGAUUGUGGUCGAGGCAGGGGUAGAUGAAUAGCUAGGGGUAGAGGUCAUGUAAGAGUAACACCCGCUUGGAAUAAGGUACCUGUUGAAAAUGCUCCAAUGAAUGAUCUGCCUGCGCAUAAUGAGGAGUUAGAAGAGGAUAUUAAGGUUGGAGAUUUAAGGAAAUUUGACAUGAAAAAGAGGUGCCACCGGAAUCCACAGUUGUUCCUUCCUCGGAUCCAGUGCUAGCGCAAAAGACCAUGUCAUUUUUGAAGGGCUUGGUUGGUCUUUGAAAGCACCCGAUGACCAAGCAACUCAGGCUCCCGCAAAUCCUUUUAUUGCUAAAACUUCUCCUAAGGUGAGUGGAACAUGAGGAAAUGUUGCUUUCUUCCUUCUUUUGUUAGGUUCUGUUACAACUAGCAAUGAGCAUGACAUGUUGACUAAGUUCUUCAAGUUUAAGCCUCCGGUAUUUUUGGGUUCUAAAAUUGAUGAUGCUUAUGAGUUUAUGUUAGAUUAUUAUGAGAGAUUGCAUAAAUUGGGUAUUGUUCACCAACAUGGGUUGAGUUUGUGUCAUUCCAGAGGCUAAGAAAUGGUGGAGAUCUUAUAUAGAGUGUAGGUCUUCUACUUUACCACCAGUUACUUGGACUAAAUUUCAUACUCUGUUUCUAGAAAAGUAUGUACCUAGAACUUUGAGGGAUCGCAAGAAGGAUGAGUUUAUGGCCUUAGAGCAAGGUGGUAUGUCCGUGGCUGCUUAUGAGGACAAGUUCCAUGUUUUAUCUAGAUAUGCUACGCAAUUGGUUACUAUAGAGGAGGAGAGGAUUCACUUAUUCAUUAGGGGGAUGGAUUCUAAAUAGCAAAUGUUAUCUGUCUAUAUAACUUCCACAUGGAGGAGCUUCAAUGAGGUGACAGACUAUGUUAAGAAAGUGGAUGGCAUGAAGAGAGAUGCUUAGGCUAAGGCGUUCGCUAAGAGAUCUAAGAACUCUGAAUAUUUUCAGGGCUCCUAUUCGAGAGGAUAUGGUAGGCCAACUCUGGCACACAAGCCAAUUCACUCUGUUAUGCCCGCCGCUACAGGGAACUAUUCGGGAACUACAUCUUAUAAUUUUCAGGAUAGUCAGGGAGUCAUGUCUUCGAUGGGUAGCAGACCAUCUUUUAGUCAUACUUGCUAUAAUUGUGGAGAACAUGGACAUAUGAGGAGAGAUUGCCCCUUCCAUGUGGGCUAGACCCCACACAUCAUCCAUCUAGAGUAGAUGCACCCUCGGAGAAUAGUAAUAAUGGUAGAGGAUGUCCACAAGGUGGUCGAGGAGGUAAUCAACGAGGUCGUGGAGGAAGAAGACAUGGUAAUGUGAGCAGAGGUAACAUAUAACAAGGAAGGGAGGUAGAUCGUUAAGAUGAUAUGCCUUAGCAUUAUGCUUUUUUCGUGCAAGAACAAGGCUGAGACGUUUGACAGGGUCAUCACAUGUACUAUUCUUGUUUAUUCUUGUUUGUGACCGGAUGACUAAUGUGAUGUUCUUGAUGCCCCUAUUCAUGUUUCUACUCCUGUUGGAGAGUCAGUCAUAGUUAUUGUUGGCGCCCAAUUGUGAUCCUCCCUGAUAUAAAUUAAUCUUCGAGCCUCUUAAUUCCAAA
Molecule: long non-coding RNA, 1965 nt
Organism: Solanum pennellii
Lineage: Eukaryota; Viridiplantae; Streptophyta; Magnoliopsida; Solanales; Solanaceae
Exons: 2
Source: RefSeq, a predicted model, not a curated record